This 1069-nucleotide long non-coding RNA is filed under the name Fragaria vesca (wild strawberry). RNAcentral describes it as "long non-coding RNA (FVES_LNC004712)". Lineage: Eukaryota; Viridiplantae; Streptophyta; Magnoliopsida; Rosales; Rosaceae. The record is from RNAcentral.
UCUCGAAAGAAAAAACGUCCUAACCCAUCUCAUAUUUCAUGCGGUCCAUGCUGGAUUAGAGGCUUCGUGGAGAUGUUGACACGACCCACCCCGAAUUUCACCCUGAAACCCGGAGUAACUCGUGCGGGGACCACCUCUAAGAAAGAUAUUACCGAAAAAUCAGCAUAACCUCCCUUGAAAAUGGACAACCCUUCCUAACGAAAACCUGCAAACACUUCCAAAAAUUUUUAAUCCAACCUUAACUCCGGGAGCCUACGUGCUCCCCAAAAACAACUACCUCCAACAACACAACAUUAUCCAACAUCAAAUAUAAUUAUCCAAAAGAUAACAUAAAUCCUCCAACAAAUAUUCUAAGAUGUCAACAAGUCUUCACCCACAACCGAAAUAAUAUACAUUAAACCCAAGUAUUCAGAGCUACUAAACACUAGCGGAAAAAGAAACCACAAGUAGGUUAAACAGGUAACCUACUGAUGAAAAGUGGUGGAAAUGCGGGUGACUAUGCCUCGUCUCCUACUAGGUCCAACCCGAACUCUGCAGACUGGGCAUUUUAAAACGAAGGGUCCAAGGGAAACAUUUGAACACACGUUAGAGUGAGUGGACAAAAAUAAAAUUAAUGAAAUAAUUCUUUAUGCUUUCCCAAUUUUACUUUUCCAUAGAAAAACAUGCUGCAUGCGACAAUUCAAAACGCUCAACACGAAAACUGGAAAUUUCAUGACUAGCUCCGGCCAGUCUCCAACGCUCAAUAAAAUACAGCCUCUCAGGCUAAAAUAAAAUAUGCAUGUAUUACACUCGUCAUAUCCCUUGUAUGAAUUUUCUUGAAACAACUAAAACAAAUAGAAAAUUCACAUAAGGCUACAACGCUUGCGUCUAACGCUCACGUUGCACCAUAAUGACAUUUUACCUCAUUAUGGUGGAAAAGACGGUGUAUAAAUAUACGCGCAUAUCCCCUAUAUAAAUUAUUAUUUUUAUAUAGGGCUACAACGAUUGCGUCUAACGCUCAUGUUGCACCAUAAUGGAAUUUUACCUCAGUAUGGUGGAAAGCACGUAUAGCUAGCUAGCAAUUCUCUCA